Molecule: ribosomal RNA, 115 nt
Filed under: Klebsiella pneumoniae
Lineage: Bacteria; Pseudomonadati; Pseudomonadota; Gammaproteobacteria; Enterobacterales; Enterobacteriaceae
Source: RNAcentral
UGGCGGCACUAGCGCGGUGGUCCCACCUGACCCCAUGCCGAACUCAGAAGUGAAACGCCGUAGCGCCGAUGGUAGUGUGGGGUCUCCCCAAGUGAGAGUAGGGAACUGCCAGGCA